AUUGAACGCUGGCGGCAGGCCUAACACAUGCAAGUAGAACGAGUGGCGGACGGGUGAGUAAUGGAUGGGAAACUGCCCGAUGGCGGGGGAUAACUAAUGGAAAGGGUGGCUAAUACCGCAUACCAUUAGAGGGGCCCAAAUCGGAGUAGCUUGUUGGUGGGGUAACGGCUCACCAAGGCAACGAGCCCUAGCUGGUCUGAGAGGCUGACCAGCCACACUGGCACUGAUACACGGUCCAGACUCCUACGUGCGGCAGCAGUGGGGAAUUUUGCACAAUGGGGGCCAUCCUGAUGCCGCCAUCCCGCGUGUAUGAAGAAGCCCUUCGGGUUGUAAAGUACUUUUGGCGGAGAUGCGUUAGCCGCAGAAGAAGCCCCGGCUAACUCCGUGCCAGCAGCCGCGGUAAUUC
Molecule: ribosomal RNA, 406 nt
Filed under: uncultured bacterium
Lineage: Bacteria
Description: partial 16S ribosomal RNA
Rfam family: Bacterial small subunit ribosomal RNA
Source: RNAcentral